GAACAAAAUUACUAAGCACAUAGUAUAUAUAAUUAGAAUAAAGUUAAAUUAAACCUUCGAUCCUAAGAUGUUUCAGUUAUUCUUGUGUUAUUGGAAUUUUCCCUCCCUUACAAACAAUUUCUCAAAAUCAGUCUAUUCCCCAAGAUAUCCAGUUUCUUCUGCAGAUUUUAGAAUAUGAAAUUAAACAUUUCAACCUAAAAUCCAGCUAUGAAUGCUAUUCAGAUGUUUUAUAUUGCUCUUAAUUGGGAUUUAAAAAUAUAUAAAUUCAACACUAUAGUCAAUGUUCAAUGAUUUUUGUUAAAAGAUAGAAUGGUGUAGGAAUGCUAAAGAUUUUCUAGAAUAUUAAAUUUAACUAGUCAUUAAGGCAGAGAAUCUGCUCCUGCAACUUUGCAAAUAUCUCAAUAACCUCAGAGAUCAGCACUUACUGUGGAUUUUGGAAUUAUGGUUCAAGUCUAAGACAACCACAGGUACAAGUUCUAAGGAGAAUGAAGAAGUAGCAUUCAGCACAAUGUCACUGUAGGCUGUUUCUCCCACUUGUUACUGCAUCUUUGUUUAUUUCACCUGUGACAUUACAUUAGGAUGUCUAAAGCAAUCACCAAAAAAUAAAGGUGAACUACAUCUUCCAAGAAUUACUAACAGAAAACAUUCAUCUAAUUUUCAACAUUGAAUUUUAAGGAUUUAAAUCUUUCAGCUACCAUGUUGAAAAUAAGGAUAUUAGAACUGAUUUCAUACAGUAGAGGUGAUCUGUGCAUUAUCCAUAACAACAUUUUCUUUCACACUAGGACCACAAACAAAUAUUUAUGUAAAUAGAUAUUUUUGUGUGAUAUUUUGUGGUACUUAUAACUUUUUUUAGUGUUUCACAGCAUUAUUAUUUCAUUUUAUUUCUAUUGAAUAAUGUUUUUAGGUCCAAGUAGACUUGAAUUAAUGUCAUAAUUGUCAGUAUUAUUGAAAUUAUGUCAACUGUACUGUUUUUCAUCUGUCCCAUAGUUUAGAACAUGACCCGGCUAUCUGGCAUUGUUGCAAGUGCCUUAAAUUCAUGGCAUCCUAUUAAAAAACAAAUUUGGUGUUAUGCUGCAUGACAAAGACAAACACACCUCAAAAUGUUGUCCUUUCUUAGCUUGCUGCGUUUUACAGUUCUUUCUGCUAACAAUUUAUAAGCCUUUAUUAUAUAAUAUUGAUGAAUUACAGAAAUGAUG
Molecule: long non-coding RNA, 1196 nt
Filed under: Equus caballus (horse)
Lineage: Eukaryota; Metazoa; Chordata; Mammalia; Perissodactyla; Equidae
Description: lncRNA (ENSECAG00000054483.1)
Source: RNAcentral